GGGCCCCACAUGUUGCCUGACCAUUCCUGAGCCCAGGUGGGAGCGGUGGCUGAGGUGACGGUCUCAAAGUGGAAGAGCUUACUGUCACAGCAACUCCUUUGCAAGAUGCCCCGGCCAGGAAUAGUUGCUGAACACCCCAGGAUGCUGAGGUCCCUCCUUGAGUCUCAUGUUCAAGCAGUCUUCACAUGGCACAAGAGUGCCUGCCAUCCCUCAGUGUUUCUACAGCAGCAAUCCCGAGAUGCUGGAGCUAGAGGGGACCUGACCUGAGAGAAGAUACCUUCAGUGGCUGCCAGGCUGUUCCUUGGAACCUGUGCAGGGAUGAGGCCUGCCUGUGUUAAUACACCUAGUGAGGAGUGGAGCUGAAUUUGAAUGCAAGCCUUGGCACCUUAAUUGAGCAAGUUUGAAACCUCGCUUGUUGCCCUUCUGGAAGGAGUCAGGAAUUUCCAGUUCUGGGCCUGGGGCUGUGGGUCUGACAGACAGACCUCUGGCCCUAGGUUUGGGUGCC
RNAcentral lists this long non-coding RNA (505 nucleotides) under Pan troglodytes (chimpanzee). Its description in RNAcentral is "lincRNA". The record is from RNAcentral. Lineage: Eukaryota; Metazoa; Chordata; Mammalia; Primates; Hominidae.